This 87-nucleotide transfer RNA is filed under the name Candidatus Moraniibacteriota bacterium. RNAcentral's name for it is "Candidatus Moranbacteria bacterium tRNA-Leu". It matches the Rfam family "tRNA". Rfam says of the family: Transfer RNA (tRNA) molecules are approximately 80 nucleotides in length. Their secondary structure includes four short double-helical elements and three loops (D, anti-codon, and T loops). The record is from RNAcentral. Lineage: Bacteria; Candidatus Moraniibacteriota.
GCCGACGUGGUGAAAUUGGUAUACACGCUAGCUUCAGGUGCUAGUUCUCGCAAGGGAGUGAGAGUUCAAGUCUCUCCGUCGGCACCA